This 256-nucleotide ribosomal RNA is filed under the name uncultured Gardnerella sp. RNAcentral describes it as "partial 16S ribosomal RNA". It matches the Rfam family "Bacterial small subunit ribosomal RNA", at positions 99 to 356 of the family's 1533-position model. The record is from RNAcentral. Lineage: Bacteria; Bacillati; Actinomycetota; Actinomycetes; Bifidobacteriales; Bifidobacteriaceae.
CGAACGGGUGAGUAAUGCGUGACCAACCUGCCCCAUGCUCCAGAAUAGCUCUUGGAAACGGGUGGUAAUGCUGGAUGCUCCAACUUGACGCAUGUCUUGUUGGGAAAGUGUUUAGUGGCAUGGGAUGGGGUCGCGUCCUAUCAGCUUGUAGGCGGGGUAAUGGCCCACCUAGGCUUCGACGGGUAGCCGGCCUGAGAGGGCGGACGGCCACAUUGGGACUGAGAUACGCCCAGACUCCUACGGGAGGGCAGCAGNG